ACGAGUGGCGAACUGGUGAGUAACACGUGGGUAACCUGCCCUUGAAGUAGGGGAUAACACUUGGAAACAGGUGCUAAUACCGUAUAACAACCAAAACCACCUGGUUUUGGUUUAAAAGAUGGCUUCGGCUAUCACUUUAGGAUGGACCCGCGGCGUAUUAGCUUGUUGGUAAGGUAACGGCCUACCAAGGCAAUGAUACGUAGCCGACCUGAGAGGGUAAUCGGCCACAUUGGGACUGAGACACGGCCCAAACUCCUACGGGAGGCAGCAGUAGGGAAUCUUCCACAAUGGACGAAAGUCUGAUGGAGCAACGCCGCGUGAGUGAUGAAGGGUUUCGGCUCGUAAAACUCUGUUGUUGGAGAAGAACAGGUGUGAGAGUAACUGUUCACAUCUUGACGGUAUCCAACCAGAAAGCCACGGCUAACUACGUGCCAGCAGCCGCGGUAAUACGUAGGUGGCAAGCGUUGUCCGGAUUUAUUGGGCGUAAAGCGAGCGCAGGCGGUUUCUUAGGUCUGAUGUGAAAGCCUUCGGCUUAACCGGAGAAGUGCAUCGGAAACCAGGAGACUUGAGUGCAGAAGAGGACAGUGGAACUCCAUGUGUAGCGGUGAAAUGCGUAGAUAUAUGGAAGAACACCAGUGGCGAAGGCGGCUGUCUGGUCUGUAACUGACGCUGAGGCUCGAAAGC
This 684-nucleotide ribosomal RNA is filed under the name uncultured bacterium. Its description in RNAcentral is "bacterial SSU rRNA". It matches the Rfam family "Bacterial small subunit ribosomal RNA", at positions 91 to 760 of the family's 1533-position model. The record is from RNAcentral.